This is a non-coding RNA of Delphinapterus leucas (beluga whale), 2344 nucleotides long. The record is from RefSeq and is a predicted model, not a curated record. Lineage: Eukaryota; Metazoa; Chordata; Mammalia; Artiodactyla; Monodontidae.
UCCUGCAUUGGCAGGCGGAUUCUUAACCACUGCGCCACCAGGGAAGCCCCGAUAUUUUCUUAUUUGUUCAUCAGUUUAAGUUGUAUUACAUUGUAUUACAUCAAAAAGCAGGAAGAACUUGUAGUUGUAUUAGCAUGGGUUUUACAGGUUUACAGCUUUCAUGGGUAUUUUUUCAAGUUUCCUUGGGAAAUGAUGACUUGAAUUUUUGGCCUUAAUCUUUUUGAUGUAUUGUUCUCUUAGUCACAAACUAUUUCUCUAUAUUCUUUGUUGCUUAAAGAGAAUCUGUUGGGUAACAGAAAAGUAAAAUUAUUCCAGUGCAAAGUAUACUGCAUAUUUUGGCUGUUGUGAAUUGCCUGUAGUAAUAGCAUUUGGUUUAUUAUUUUAGCAGCCGCUAUUGUGGUCUGUGUCUUUGCCGUCAAGGCAGAGGGUCACAUUCAGUUGUGAACACUGUUGUGUGUUGAAAGAUCUCGGAUGGUGACUUUGAUCAUGUGGACGUCCCCUCCCCCAUACCUACAAAUUUCAGAACUUGUUUCUCAGAAGGAGGCCCUGCUGCAGAACAAGCUAAUAAAGAAUGUGGUUCCUUUAUGGUUCGAUAUCACGGGAGUCUGCUCCAGAGGAGAUCAUUACCUUUUAGGCUGAUUUCUGGCAAGGAGAAAAGAAAACAUGGAUGAAGCUACCUGAAAUUUGGUUUCCGGGGUGAACCGAAGUCGAGAGACAGGAAACGCUGGAGUCUCCCUUCAGCUGUGGUCCUGGGAGCCAGGAGCAUCAGCCUUUCCUGAGAGCUGCUCGCAAGUAGCAAGGCUCUUCUGUACCAGGAGGGAGCAGUCAGGCCUGGAAAUCCCAGAUUUUGUUGGAAAGGAACACCGUCUGCAGCUUCCCUGCAUAGAGCACCGAGGAUGAGAGGAGAAGAAAAGGUCCGCGGAGGACAGAGGCUCUUCUUGUUUUCCCCUCAGCUCCACUGUGAAAACGCGGCUGUGUCCCCGUGACUGUAGAGCAGAAAAGGCAGUAGAACCUCGUCAGACAGCCGGUGGGGAUGGCCGUCUGCAGUGAAAUCCUAUUAGAGAACACUUUGACGAAGGUCAUGUUUCUAUUCCUGCCGACCACAGUGAGUGGUAUCCAGCAGAGGAAUGGUUGUCCUUCGUCAGCUCUAGUCGGACUGAGAAAUACUUGAUCCAUACGGAGAAUAUGACACAACGGACCCUAAUCAAGUUCCUGGUGCUUGUUUCAUGGUAUCAGUAUAAAUCUGUUUCUCUUCAUUUCUUAAGAGCCACACACUCCUCAACAGACCAAGGUCAGUGUUUGUCAAACUUGAGUGCUUUCAGGUCACCCAAGAUCUCACCAAGGUGUUGGCUGAGAGUCCUGGUCUGGGUGGGGCUCUGAGAGGAGACCACACUCUGAGUCUCGAGGGUCAGGAAAAUCUACCAGGAUCUCACAUCUGAGGACGACAGGGCGUCUUUGGAAAAAACCGCUAGUGGAUGCAGACAUUGUGCAAGUGCAAAAACAGCCAUACGUAACCCAGGACUGUCCAGCUGAACCGAAGCACUGGUGUGGAGGUGGGUGACCGGCCAGUUCACGGACUCAGCUCACCAGCUCAUGCCUGGCGGUGCAGACGGUCCACUUGGACUGUCAAGACCACAGUUCGCUAUUACUGAGAUGUUGUGAAUGGCUGGCUUUGACUGGUAGAGCUGUAUUUUCUUCAACUAAAUUUCCAUUAACAAAUAGGUAUUUUUUAAACAGGUGGGUUGUUUUUUUUUUAAAUAAAACAAGCCAGAACCCCGUUUCCUACCUUUCCUCCACUCUGUAUACGGAGCACCCGUGUCCUGGAGGAGGGGCCAUGGCCAUGGUCUCUACCUACCAAGUAGCUGUUAAGUAGAAACUAGGAAGCAGAACUGAAGUUCUCAUCUCUUGCUACUAAACUGUACUAUGGGACAAGACGUUUUCAUUUUUCUUUGUCUUUUUAAAAGGGCAAGACUAUUAGUGAUAAUAAAAUUCAGGGAAAAUAUUGAUUUUGGGCAUACCAUCUUGAAAGCUAAAUUUUAAUAAAAGUCAAUUUUAAUAAAAACUAGUAUAAUUAUUAAGACUCAACUUGCAUACUUCUAAAACAAGUGCUAACACGCUGCUAUGUGGACCCCUUGGGGUCACCUGGGAUGGUGAGUAUCAGCUGCGUUUCUUUUUUUCUGCCAGAGCAGCAGUGCUGUUAACUAUUGUACAUAAUUAUUACACAUAAUGGAAUUUGUUAAGGUUUUAUUAAAAGAAUAAAGAGUUCUGCCUGAAAAUCAGUUUAUAAUGUCACAUUUCAAAAUGAGAGAAAACACAGGCUUACCUUCUGGUAUGUUCUGUGGGA